GGAGAGAUGGCCGAGUGGCUUAAGGCAACGGUUUGCUAAACCGUCGUAGUGUUUUUGACACUACCGAGGGUUCAAAUCCCUCUCUCUCCU
RNAcentral lists this transfer RNA (90 nucleotides) under Bacteroidota bacterium. RNAcentral describes it as "Bacteroidetes bacterium (activated sludge metagenome) tRNA-Ser". It matches the Rfam family "tRNA". From Rfam's summary of the family: Transfer RNA (tRNA) molecules are approximately 80 nucleotides in length. Their secondary structure includes four short double-helical elements and three loops (D, anti-codon, and T loops). The record is from RNAcentral. RNAcentral also lists the same sequence under 1 other name. Lineage: Bacteria; Pseudomonadati; Bacteroidota.